UGAGAUCAUGGUGUCUAUGUCUUCCCUGU
This 29-nucleotide non-coding RNA is filed under the name Mus musculus (house mouse). The record is from RNAcentral. Lineage: Eukaryota; Metazoa; Chordata; Mammalia; Rodentia; Muridae.